UACAGAGGGGGCAAGCGUUAUUCGGAAUUAUUGGGCGUAAAGGGCGCGUAGGCGGUUCGUUAAGUGAGAUGUGCAAUCCCCGGGCUCAACCUGGGAACUGCAUCUCAGACUGGCGGGCUAGAGUGUUGGAGAGGGUGGUGGAAUUCCACGUGUAGCGGUGAAAUGCGUAGAGAUGUGGAGGAACACCAGUGGCGAAGGCGGCCACCUGGACAAUAACUGACGCUGAUGCGCGAAAGUGUGGGUAG
This 245-nucleotide ribosomal RNA is filed under the name uncultured bacterium. Its description in RNAcentral is "partial 16S ribosomal RNA". It matches the Rfam family "Bacterial small subunit ribosomal RNA", at positions 524 to 768 of the family's 1533-position model. The record is from RNAcentral.